RNAcentral lists this ribosomal RNA (500 nucleotides) under uncultured bacterium. Its description in RNAcentral is "partial 16S ribosomal RNA". It matches the Rfam family "Bacterial small subunit ribosomal RNA", at positions 29 to 523 of the family's 1533-position model. The record is from RNAcentral.
AGUGAACGCUGGCGGCAUGCCUUACACAUGCAAGUCGAACGGCAGCACGGGUGCUUGCACCUGGUGGCGAGUGGCGAACGGGGGAGUAAUACAUCGGAACGUACCUUAUCGUGGGGGAUAACGCAGCGAAAGCUGUGCUAAUACCGCAUACGCCCUGGGGGGGAAAGCGUGGGAUCGAAAGACCUCGCGCGCUUAGGGCGGCCGAUGCCUGAUUAGCUUGUUGGUGGGGUAAAAGCCCACCAAGGCGACGAUCAGUAGCCGGGCUGAGAGGACGAUCAGCCACACUGGGACUGAGACACGGCCCAGCCUCCUACGGGAGGCAGCAGUGGGGAAUUUUGGACAAUGGGGGAAACCCUGAUCCAGCAAUGCCGCGUGUGAAGAAGGCCUUCGGGUUGUAAAGCACUUUUGUCAGGAACGAAACGGUGGGGGCUAAUACCUCCUGCUACUGACGGUACCUGAAGAAUAAGCACCGGCUAACUACGUGCCAGCAGCCGCCGUAA